UGGGAAGCUCCAAAAGCCAGGGGAAU
This 26-nucleotide non-coding RNA is filed under the name Rattus norvegicus (Norway rat). The record is from RNAcentral. Lineage: Eukaryota; Metazoa; Chordata; Mammalia; Rodentia; Muridae.